Molecule: ribosomal RNA, 486 nt
Filed under: Gephyromantis enki
Lineage: Eukaryota; Metazoa; Chordata; Amphibia; Anura; Mantellidae
Description: partial 16S ribosomal RNA
Rfam family: Bacterial large subunit ribosomal RNA
Source: RNAcentral
AACCGCGCGAAGGUAGCAUAAUCACUUGUUCUUUAAAUGAGGACUCGUAUCAAUGGCACCACGAGGACUUUACUGUCUCCUUUUUCUAAUCAGUGAAACUAAUCUUCCCGUGAAGAAGCGGGAAUAAAUAGAUAAGACGAGAAGACCCCAUGGAGCUUUAAGCUUACUGCACCUCUAUUUUCUAUAACCUCUUAUUAAACGGAAUACUGCUUACUUAGCUUUAGGUUGGGGUGACCGCGGAGUAUAACAUAACCUCCAUGAUGAACAAAACUAUUUUCUUAUCUAAGAACAACAGUUCUAAGAAUUAGUAUUCUAACAUAAAAUGAUCCGAUAAUCGAUCAACGGACUAAGUUACCCUGGGGAUAACAGCGCAAUCCAUUUCAAGAGCCCCUAUCGACAAAUGGGUUUACGACCUCGAUGUUGGAUCAGGAUAUCCUAGUGGUGCAGCAGCUACUGAAGGUUCGUUUGUUCAACGAUUAAAAUCCU